UUGGAUGAUGGGUUAUUUAACC
This 22-nucleotide microRNA is filed under the name Lotus japonicus. RNAcentral's name for it is "lja-miR11108t-3p". The record is from miRBase by way of RNAcentral. Lineage: Eukaryota; Viridiplantae; Streptophyta; Magnoliopsida; Fabales; Fabaceae.